Molecule: long non-coding RNA, 1147 nt
Filed under: Bemisia tabaci
Lineage: Eukaryota; Metazoa; Arthropoda; Insecta; Hemiptera; Aleyrodidae
Description: lncRNA ENSSSA1UGG002403
Source: RNAcentral
AACGCCGAGAAUUAUUUUUUAGUGCAUCUCAGGAUUUUUUGUGUAUUUUUCUAGAGAAGUUCAUUUGAAGUUGGCAACGUCGAAUCAGCCCUAUGUUAACAAUGUAAAAGCAACGUGAAACACCCAAACUUCAACCUCAAAUAUCUUUGACAGUCGCGAAAAGUUGCAAGAUCUUUUAGGUAGAGUUGAAGUUGGACGUCUGAGGAUUAGGAAAAUGUCAAACACCCAGAAAAUUUUGCGUUUCAAGCGAGAAAUCUUCAUUUGAAGUUUUCGUCUUUGUCCUGUGUAUUUCUAAUGGACCAGCGAUUCUCGACCCAUUUCCCGCCCACAUUCUACCCAAAUCUGAAGUAGUUUUGAGCGAAAAAUUUGAAAAUAAACCAUCAUUGUGAGACAGAAAUAUCUUUAUGAUGACAAACUCCAAAAGAAAAAUUCAGAUAUCGAGUUGUGAAUUUUUGGAUUUUUGUCCACAGAGGGCCGCACUGUGCGGCGACCCAGGACGGGACAAGUAUCGAAGUUCGAUGGAUCGCGGCCGAAUUGUGGCCGCAGCCAGCUCUUCCAACUUAAACCCUAUUUGGCAAUACCGAGGAGAACAACGAACAUUAAAAGCCAAGAAGGGUGAGGACCUUCAAGUUACAAAUUUAGUAAUUAAGAAACUUUAUAGGAAAAUAAUACCUACAAGAGGGACACACAAAAAUAAACACUAUGUACAUAAAUAAACAAGAAAGGCUUCCAAACUUUAAAAUGUAAAUUAGGCCUUCCGGCUACAUUCUGUCAAAUAUCGACGGUGAAACUACACCAAACCACGUAUCUCGGUUUGCGACGUCGCAGACUUCCUGUCAUACUUUAUUUUUUAAAUGAAAAACUACUUAACGUCCAGUCUUGAAAAUUUCCGUGAUUUUUCCUCUUCGUGCGGAGAAAAUUCUGGGAAAAUUUCAAGGAAUUAUAUUGAUUUGGUCUACUUCAAAAAAAUAAAAUGCGAGCGUAGAUUUUUAAACACCGCAAACGAGAUACGUGGUUUGGUAGUUUCACCGUCGAUAUAGUUCCACCCUGUAUAAACCGCUUUGUUCAAAAAAAAAGAAAAAUAAAUUUUGUUUGAGGUUAUGUUCUAUUUGAGCCAAACGAUAAAUCGAACUACUAUCGAAUACGC